GAUGAACGCUGGCGGCGUGCCUAAUACAUGCAAGUCGAGCGAACAGACGAGGAGCUUGCUCCUCUGACGUUAGCGGCGGACGGGUGAGUAACACGUGGAUAACCUACCUAUAAGACUGGGAUAACUUCGGGAAACCGGAGCUAAUACCGGAUAAUAUAUUGAACCGCAUGGUUCAAUAGUGAAAGACGGUUUUGCUGUCACUUAUAGAUGGAUCCGCGCCGCAUUAGCUAGUUGGUAAGGUAACGGCUUACCAAGGCAACGAUGCGUAGCCGACCUGAGAGGGGGAUCGGCCAAAAUGGAACUGAGAAACGGUCCAGGCUCCUACGGGAGGAAGGAGUAGGGAAACUUCCGAAAAGGGCGAAAGCUUGAAGGAGAAACGCCGCGGGAGUGAUGAAGGUCUUCGGAUCGUAAAACUCUGUUAUUAGGGAAGAACAAAUGUGUAAGUAACUAUGCAAGUCUUGACGGUACCUAAUAAGAAAGCCACGGCUAACUACGU
Molecule: ribosomal RNA, 496 nt
Filed under: uncultured bacterium
Lineage: Bacteria
Description: partial 16S ribosomal RNA
Rfam family: Bacterial small subunit ribosomal RNA
Source: RNAcentral